CUGUUUCUUCCCGACCCCAAGCUUUCCUUGUAGGAAGAAGGUAAGCUGCCGACCCCUGGUCCGUCUCGUCCGACCCUUGUCCACUUCGCCCGACCCCUCUUAUCCGCCCGACCCCGGUUCCGUCUCGCCCGACCCUGUCUGUUCCGCCGACCCUUCUCCGCCUCGCCCGAGGGCUCGGCUGUAACCUUUUUCUUCAAACCAAGGGUGUAUGUGUAAAACUUGGGAACCCUUCAGUGUUGAGUCUGAGGAUCCCUAGCACACCAACCCUCUGGUUUAAGGGCCAGAUCACAAGUUCCUUUCCUCGGACCCUUACCUAUUGAUCUCCA
Molecule: long non-coding RNA, 326 nt
Filed under: Setaria viridis
Lineage: Eukaryota; Viridiplantae; Streptophyta; Magnoliopsida; Poales; Poaceae
Description: long non-coding RNA (SVIR_LNC007874)
Source: RNAcentral